RNAcentral lists this ribosomal RNA (238 nucleotides) under uncultured bacterium. Its description in RNAcentral is "partial 16S ribosomal RNA". It matches the Rfam family "Bacterial small subunit ribosomal RNA", at positions 15 to 235 of the family's 1533-position model. The record is from RNAcentral.
GAUCCUGGCUCAGGAUGAACGCUGGCGGCGUGCCUAACACAUGCAAGUCGAACGAAGCACUGUAAACGGAGAUUCGUCAAAGUUUGCUUUGACUUAGUGGCGGACGGGUGAGUAAUGUAUGAGCAACCUGCCUUUCAGUGGGGGACAACAGUUGGAAACGACUGCUAAUACCGCAUGAUGUCAAUUGGGGGCAUCCCCGAAUGACCAAAGGAUUUAUUCGCUGAAAGAUGGGCUCAUA